This is a non-coding RNA of Phascolarctos cinereus (koala), 1132 nucleotides long. The record is from RefSeq and is a predicted model, not a curated record. NCBI's taxonomy places the organism in Eukaryota, Metazoa, Chordata, Mammalia, Diprotodontia, Phascolarctidae.
CUUUGAUUAUCCAAGUUUGUUCACACUUAGUUCAAUGACCUUAACAGAUUGAUUCAAUAGAAGUUUUCUCACCUGGCAAAGAUAUAAGGGACCGGCCCUUGCGAGUGAUUCAGUCUCUGAAGGACACUGAUGAUAGAUGUGACCACCCAAAUCCUCUGGGAACAUGAGCCUUGAUCUUAGGGGGGACCCCACCCACCUAGGAGACCUUACUUCUGUUUAGAACAGAAUCUAAUCUAGGUGAAUUCCAACCCCAAAGCAUCAAGUCUACACCCCUGCUCCUCUCCAUGAGAGUUUAGGGUAACCCAGCUCACACAGGAGAAAACCAACCACAGCGGUCUGGGUAGAGAUGGAUUCCUUUGUCUGGAUGGCUGGGGGCAGCUGAGUCUUAGGAUCAAGCCGUGAUCUCAGCAGGAGGAACUGAAGGCUUUCAUCCAACUCCUCAUUUGAAAGUCCACCCCCUCAUGAAUUGUUCACCAAUCAGAGCUGAUUUUCACCUCUCGGGGCACCCCUUUUUCCAAAGAUGAAAAUCAUUGAAUGCAAUGAAAUGAUGUUAAACAGGAAGUGCAUUGGGAUUGUCCGAAGAGAUUUGGUGAUGUCCUGUGCAUCUUAAGAAGAACAAGAAAGCUGGUUUGAAACCUGUACCUUCAAGUGCCUGGACAGCCUGGAAAAGAGAGAGAAGUCCAGCUAAGCCUCCAAGAGGUAGUCACUUGGCUGGAGGUGGGGCAGGGCAGAACACAGACCAUCUCCUCUCACCUUUGGCCAGAGGAUAAUCUUGAAAAUUUUGAAGGGUCAGGAGAUUUUGGGUAUCAUAGCAGUGCCCCUAGAAUAGCUGAUAGAGGCUCUUUAUCAGUAACUCCAAACACACAAGUUUCCUUGAGAAACAGCAGCUUCAGAACUCUCCAAAGAACCAGCAGAAGCUACCGAAGAUGAACUUCAUGAGGGAACCUCUGAGGGAGGAAAGGACUUUCACCCAGUCCUGAGCUGUGAAUUGGCCACCUGGGAUCUCUAAGCACACAGACUUAGAGGCCACCUUCCCUGGGACUCUGUUGGUACCUGUGGGGGAGUGUGUCCAGACUUUUGUGGGAUGCUUCGUACUGGCUGUUUUUACUAUACCACCUAAGUAAAUAGUCCU